GGAGUUUGGUCCGUGUCUCAGUACCAAUGUGGGGGACCUUCCUCUCAGAACCCCUACUGAUCGUCGCCUUGGUGGGCCGUUACCCCGCCAACCGGCUAAUCAGACGCAUCCCCAUCCCUUACCGAUGAAUCUUUGCUUCACGUUAGAUGCCCGCUGUGAAGAACAUAGGGUAUUAAUCCGACUUUCGCCGGGCUAUGC
Molecule: ribosomal RNA, 198 nt
Filed under: uncultured Prevotella sp.
Lineage: Bacteria; Pseudomonadati; Bacteroidota; Bacteroidia; Bacteroidales; Prevotellaceae
Description: partial 16S ribosomal RNA
Source: RNAcentral